RNAcentral lists this ribosomal RNA (430 nucleotides) under uncultured bacterium. RNAcentral describes it as "bacterial SSU rRNA". It matches the Rfam family "Bacterial small subunit ribosomal RNA", at positions 343 to 789 of the family's 1533-position model. The record is from RNAcentral.
GGGCGGCAGCAGUGGGGAAUAUUGGACAAUGGGGGCAACCCUGAUCCAGCCAUGCCGCGUGAGUGAUGAAGGCCUUAGGGUUGUAAAGCUCUUUCACCGGUGAAGAUAAUGACGGUAACCGGAGAAGAAGCCCCGGCUAACUUCGUGCCAGCAGCCGCGGUAAUACGAAGGGGGCUAGCGUUGUUCGGAUUUACUGGGCGUAAAGCGCACGUAGGCGGAUAUUUAAGUCAGAGGUGAAAUCCCAGGGCUCAACCCUGGAACUGCCUUUGAUACUGGGUAUCUUGAGUAUGGAAGAGGUGAGUGGAAUUCCGAGUGUAGAGGUGAAAUUCGUAGAUAUUCGGAGGAACACCAGUGGCGAAGGCGGCUCACUGGUCCAUUACUGACGCUGAGGUGCGAAAGCGUGGGGAGCAAACAGGAUUAGAUACCCCUG